Molecule: ribosomal RNA, 434 nt
Filed under: Strongyloides stercoralis
Lineage: Eukaryota; Metazoa; Nematoda; Chromadorea; Rhabditida; Strongyloididae
Description: SSU rRNA
Rfam family: Eukaryotic small subunit ribosomal RNA
Source: RNAcentral
AAUAUUUUAGUUGGAUAACUGAGGUAAUUCUUGAGCUAAUACACGCUAUUUAUACCACAUUAGUGGUGCGUUUAUUUGAUUAAACCAUUUUAUAUUGGUUGACUCAAAAUAUCCUCGCUGAUUUUGUUACUAAAACAUACCGUAUGUGUAUCUGGUUUAUCAACUUUCGAUGGUAGGGUAUUGGCCUACCAUGGUUGUGACGGAUAACGGAGAAUUAGGGUUCGACUCCGGAGAGGGAGCCUGAGAAACGGCUACCACAUCCAAGGAAGGCAGCAGGCGCGAAAAUUACCCAAUUUUAGUUAAAAGAGGUAGUGACGAAAAAUGACAACCAAAUAUUAUUAUUAAUAUUUGGAUUGAAAAUCUUCAAGUUUAAAUAACUUGUUGGUAAAGGAAAGGGCAAGUCUGGUGCCAGCAGCCGCGGUAAUACCAGCUUU